This 493-nucleotide ribosomal RNA is filed under the name uncultured bacterium. RNAcentral describes it as "partial 16S ribosomal RNA". It matches the Rfam family "Bacterial small subunit ribosomal RNA", at positions 29 to 508 of the family's 1533-position model. The record is from RNAcentral.
AGUGAACGCUGGCGGUAGGCCUAACACAUGCAAGUCGAACGGCAGCACAGUAAGAGCUUGCUCUUACGGGUGGCGAGUGGCGGACGGGUGAGGAAUACAUCGGAAUCUACUUUUUCGUGGGGGAUAACGUAGGGAAACUUACGCUAAUACCGCAUACGACCUACGGGUGAAAGAAGGGGAUCUUCGGACCUUGCGCGAUUGAAUGAGCCGAUGUCGGAUUAGCUAGUUGGCGGGGUAAAGGCCCACCAAGGCGACGAUCCGUAGCUGGUCUGAGAGGAUGAUCAGCCACACUGGAACUGAGACACGGUCCAGACGCCUACGGGAGGCAGCAGUGGGGAAUAUUGGACAAUGGGCGCAAGCCUGAUCCAGCCAUACCGCGUGGGUGAAGAAGGCCUUCGGGUUGUAAAGCCCUUUUGUUGGGAAAGAAAAGCAGCAGGUUAAUACCCCGCUGUUCUGACGGUACCCAAAGAAUAAGUACCGGCUAACUUCGUGC